CAAGUUGGCUGGGCAGUCGCUGUUCGAUUACUAUUCGUAAUUGAGUGGAGGAAAGUCCGGGCUCCGCAGGGUAGGACGCCAGGUAACGCCUGGGGGGCGAAAGCCUACGGAAAGUGCCGCAGAGAGUAGACCGCCUAAGUCAGUGUUUGUGCUGACUGGUAAGGGUGAAAGGGUGCGGUAAGAGCGCACCGCAUAGCUGGUAACAGUCUAUGGCAGGGUAAACCCCGUCCGGAGCAAGACCAAAUAGGAAUUUAAUAGUGUGAUCCGCACUGAAUUCGGGUAGGUUGCUUGAGGUGUAUGGUGACAUGCAUCCCAGAUGAAUGACUGCUGUAUCUGAUUUUCAGGUAACAGAACCCGGCUUACAGGCCAACUUGCUCU
RNAcentral lists this RNase P RNA (378 nucleotides) under Candidatus Endonucleibacter bathymodioli. RNAcentral describes it as "RNase P RNA component class A". It matches the Rfam family "Bacterial RNase P class A". Rfam says of the family: Ribonuclease P (RNase P) is a ubiquitous endoribonuclease, found in archaea, bacteria and eukarya as well as chloroplasts and mitochondria. Its best characterised activity is the generation of mature 5'-ends of tRNAs by cleaving the 5'-leader elements of precursor-tRNAs. Lineage: Bacteria; Pseudomonadati; Pseudomonadota; Gammaproteobacteria; Oceanospirillales; Endozoicomonadaceae. The record is from RNAcentral.